AACGAACGCUGGCGGCAGGCCUAACACAUGCAAGUCGAACGCUGUAGCAAUACAGAGUGGCAGACGGGUGAGUAACGCGUGGGAACCUUCCCAGUGGUGCGGAAUAGCUCAGGGAAACUUGAGGUAAUACCGCAUAAGCCCUUAGGGGGAAAGAUUUAUCGCCAUUGGAUGGGCCCGCGUCGGAUUAGCUAGUUGGUGAGGUAAUGGCUCACCAAGGCAACGAUCCGUAGCUGGUUUGAGAGAAUGACCAGCCACACUGGGACUGAGACACGGCCCAGACUCCUACGGGAGGCAGCAGUGGGGAAUCUUGCGCAAGGCGCGAAAGCGUGACGCAGCAACGCCGCGUGAGGGAAGACGGCCUUCGGGUUGUAAACCUCUUUCAGGAGGGACGAAGGUUCACCGGUGAAUAGCCGUGUGGAUUGACGGUACCUCCAGAAGAAGCUCCGGCUAACUACGUGCCAGCCGCCGCAGUAAAAC
This 477-nucleotide ribosomal RNA is filed under the name uncultured bacterium. RNAcentral's name for it is "bacterial SSU rRNA". It matches the Rfam family "Bacterial small subunit ribosomal RNA", at positions 29 to 526 of the family's 1533-position model. The record is from RNAcentral.